AUUGAACGCUGGCGGCGUGCUUAACACAUGCAAGUCGUACGCGAAAGGGACUUCGGUCCCGAGUAAAGUGGCGCACGGGUGAGUAACACGUGGAUAAUCUGCCUCUAUGAUGGGGAUAACAGUUGGAAACGACUGCUAAUACCGAAUACGCUCAUGAUGAACUUUGUGAGGAAAGGUGGCCUCUGCUUGCAAGCUAUCGCAUAGAGAUGAGUCCGCGUCCCAUUAGCUAGUUGGUGGGGUAACGGCCUACCAAGGCAACGAUGGGUAGCCGAUCUGAGAGGAUGAUCGGCCACACUGGAACUGAAACACGGUCCAGACUCCUACGGGAGGCAGCAGUGGGGAAUAUUGCGCAAUGGGCGAAAGCCUGACGCAGCGACGCCGCGUGAGGGAUGAAGGUCUUCGGAUCGUAAACCUCUGUCAGAAGGGAAGAAACUAGGGUGCUCUAAUCAU
Molecule: ribosomal RNA, 450 nt
Filed under: uncultured bacterium
Lineage: Bacteria
Description: bacterial SSU rRNA
Rfam family: Bacterial small subunit ribosomal RNA
Source: RNAcentral